This 450-nucleotide ribosomal RNA is filed under the name uncultured bacterium. RNAcentral's name for it is "partial 16S ribosomal RNA". It matches the Rfam family "Bacterial small subunit ribosomal RNA", at positions 338 to 795 of the family's 1533-position model. The record is from RNAcentral.
CCUACGGGUGGCUGCAGUGGGGAAUUUUGGACAAUGGGGGCAACCCUGAUCCAGCCAUGCCGCGUGAGUGAAGAAGGCCUUCGGGUUGUAAAGCUCUUUCGGCCGGGAAGAAAUCGUGCGGGCUAAUACCCUGUAUGGAUGACGGUACCGGAAGAAGAAGCACCGGCUAACUACGUGCCAGCAGCCGCGGUAAUACGUAGGGUGCGAGCGUUACUCGGAAUUACUGGGCGUAAUGUCGUAGCAGACGGUUGAAAUCCCCGGGCUUAACCUGGGAACUGCGUUUGUGACUGCGAGACUUGAGUGCGGCAGAGGGGGGUGGAAUUCCACGUGUAGCAGUGAAAUGCGUAGAGAUGUGGAGGAACACCGAUGGCGAAGGCAGCCCCCUGGGUCGACACUGACGCUCAUGCACGAAAGCGUGGGGAGCAAACAGGAUUAGAUACCCUGGUAGUC